Molecule: ribosomal RNA, 101 nt
Filed under: uncultured bacterium
Lineage: Bacteria
Description: partial 16S ribosomal RNA
Rfam family: Bacterial small subunit ribosomal RNA
Source: RNAcentral
UACACACCGCCCGUCACACCAUGGAAGCAAGCAACACCCGAAGCCGGUGGCCUAACCCGCAAGGGAGGGAGCUGUCGAAGGUGGGGCUCGUGACUGGGGUG